UAAGGAACUUAUAUAUAUAUUUGCAUCUGCUGGAAGAUGGUGUACUAAAAGAGUUUCUUAGGAGUAUCAGUGUAGAGCCAUUUUGGCAUUCUGUCCACCUCCCAGCUUACUGAGGACUGAGGAGGGGGCCAAAGUGCCAAACUAGCUCUGCAGCUCUCUCUAUCAGAAAACCUCACAGAUUACUUUGUGUGCGUAUGGAAACAACCUCCAUCUCUACCUCCAACAUAUGGAUAUAUAGGGGAUCAACCAAAGCCAAGAUCGAUUAUAUUGAUGAUGAGAACAUUGAGAAAGACACAGCUUUUGGAUGAUCACAGAGUUUUCAAUUCUGUGGCACUGAACAGUUUUUGGAUGAUACUAUUGUCUUUAUGUGGUUCUACACAGUAAUAAGUAUUUACAAACAAUUAGAGCCAGCAACUGGCUGGGGACUUGAAGUUGGAUGAAGAACCUAUUAUUUUCCUGACAUUGAGAAAUUGUUGUCUGGCGAUAGUGGCAAGCUAAGUUUUCUUUGAGUCGGGUCCUUCAGAAACAAUUUCCCUGUCAUCACAAGGUUGUGAUAAGGUCUACCUUACCGUGGGAUUAUACUGGAUUUUUUGUUGUUUGUAAUCUAAAAUCACUAUCAAUGUCAACUAGGAGGAUAUCCUUCAUUUUUUUUUCUUGUCCAAAUCUCAAGCAAGUCUGUAUUUAAGAUUCUAAUAACUGUUUACUACAUUUGAUAGUUACUGAUCCACUUUCGAGUUUGAAGUCCAUGGGGAUAAUAUGUUGUUACGAUGUCAAGUU
Long non-coding RNA from Solanum stenotomum, 777 nucleotides. RefSeq lists it as uncharacterized. The record is from RefSeq and is a predicted model, not a curated record. Lineage: Eukaryota; Viridiplantae; Streptophyta; Magnoliopsida; Solanales; Solanaceae. The transcript has 3 exons.